Molecule: transfer RNA, 72 nt
Filed under: Pangasianodon hypophthalmus (striped catfish)
Lineage: Eukaryota; Metazoa; Chordata; Actinopteri; Siluriformes; Pangasiidae
Rfam family: tRNA
About the family: Transfer RNA (tRNA) molecules are approximately 80 nucleotides in length. Their secondary structure includes four short double-helical elements and three loops (D, anti-codon, and T loops). Further hydrogen bonds mediate the characteristic L-shaped molecular structure. tRNAs have two regions of fundamental functional importance: the anti-codon, which is responsible for specific mRNA codon recognition, and the 3' end, to which the tRNAs corresponding amino acid is attached (by aminoacyl-tRNA synthetases). tRNAs cope with the degeneracy of the genetic code in two manners: having more than one tRNA (with a specific anti-codon) for a particular amino acid; and 'wobble' base-pairing, i.e. permitting non-standard base-pairing at the 3rd anti-codon position.
Source: Rfam by way of RNAcentral
UCUCUGGUGGACUAGUGGUUAGGCCCCAGUGCUGUCACUGCUGUGACCCAGGUUCAAUUCCUGGCAAGGGAG